This is a long non-coding RNA of Malania oleifera, 658 nucleotides long. RefSeq lists it as uncharacterized. Lineage: Eukaryota; Viridiplantae; Streptophyta; Magnoliopsida; Santalales; Ximeniaceae. The transcript has 4 exons. The record is from RefSeq and is a predicted model, not a curated record.
AGUUUCAUUCGAAGCUUCCCUCUUUCUCUCCUGCCUCUGUCGCUCUCCUUUCUUUCUGUUCGUUCCUCUUAAAAAAAACUACAGUGCUAUCCUCCUUUUUUUUUUUUUUUUGUAUCUCCUCAUUCUUCUCUAUGUUCAGUAAUCCCUAGUCUAGUUCUUCUUUCUUCAACUCCCCAGUUCUUAUCAUCUCCUCAAUCCCUCUCUUUGAUCAGAGGUCUGCUGAUGUCCAAAAAUGAAGCCAAAGGAGUCUCUAUAUUGUCUCCCCCCCCCCCCCACACUAUUUGCUCUAGGGUGGCCUUUGGCGCCAAUUCCACCAACGGAAUGUCAAAGGGAAUUUUCACCUUUACAGGGGAUUUGUUGAGCCAGAUGGCAGCAUGGGAAUGGCGGGCAAAGCAUUUGCCGUGAAAUUCCAUGUUGGCAACUAUGACUUGCGGGCUUUUAGGGUGCCUCCAGGUGGCGGCAUGGGAAUGGCGGAUCAAUAAGUUUCUUUUCACUUUUUGUAUUUUGUAUCUUUUGUGUUUUGUAUUUUUAUUUGUUUCUAUUUCUUUAUAUUCUGCAUGUUGAUGUAUGUAUCCCCAUGUUUCCUUUUAUGCAACUUUAAUUUGUACACCGUCCUUGUAUUUUCUAGUUGGCAUCUUGUAUGUGUUAUUUUUCUGCA